UCUGACAAGGCUUCGUCUCCCUGUUUGGGAACUGACCUAGCUCUCCGUUCUACCGGGAGAUCUCAGCAGCCAACCUGGAGAAAAAUGCUCCUGCAGCGAAGCUCCCAGUGUGAUGACUUAUGCCGCUGACGUGAAGAUGCCGCCUCAGUGUUCGAGGAGCGGGAGUCACCGGGCUGAGACGUGCCGCUACCGUGGACACCGUGGCUCAUACGAAGGCAUGUGUGACUGAGAUCCCACCCCAGACAUUACCAAGUAGGUACCAGGCCUGUCGGGAGAGCACGCGCUCUAUCCUCCCUUUUCUUCCCGAGCACAGGGCAAGCGAUCCUUCCUCCCGACAGAAGCCCUGACCGUGCUGGGGACGCGGGGCACCGGCGCCACAAGGGGGGUAGGAACGUACCGGCACCACCAGCUGGGAUAAUGGUGGUCUGGUUUCCAAAAGUCUGAAGAGCAACCUGCUUGACCAUUCCUGAAUGGGAGCGUGACACAACGAUCCUCGGGGUCCUCUCGUUGUAGGAAGUGCGGGCUUUCACGUUGGACCCACCAUCUACCAUGGCCCAAGCUGAAAAGCAAAUAUAAUAGCCAUUAACAGCACGGAAGCUUUUUGAAACUAAAACUCAACGUACAAAGGGUUGACUGGAAAAAUAUCCUUUUACACAGAAUUGCUUGUAUUUUUUUUCCAAAACGGAAAUAUUUUUUUUCUGAGAACCAGAGUAAUAUUUAGUAUUUUUUUUACACUAAUAGGCAAAUACGAAGACCAAGUUAAAAAAGGCCGCGUGAUCCUGCCCAACCGGAGACAGUGGCUACUUAAGACUUGACUUAACGACGCCCAGGUUCCAGAGCUCCUUGUGAGCUGCUGAGUGCUCACUGGGAUUGCACCCCAAUCUCCCUGUGGCUCGGCCAGCGUCUUCCCCUCCGCUACACAAAUAACUCUUCAGGAAACAUCCUGCGUGCUCAUCUCCACGUCAAAAGUCUGGCUCCUGGGGAACCCUACCUGUGACCACCUAGGACAUAAGCAGCAAAACUAGUUACCCUGGAUAAUUAACAACUUAAGACAGGUUUUGCUCCUAUACUACCUCUAUUUCUGAUACGUUCGUAGUUUCAAUUAUUCGCAUAUCGGACCCAUCUCCUAAGGGAGCUUUAUAAACAUAAGGCAGCUCAAGGGGGGAGUCAGCGUUACGUAUCUGCUUUGUCGGAGAGCGUAAAAAAAUGCUCUAGAUUUCGAAAUAGAACAGGAAUUGUAAGAAGGUGAGGAGACCCUCGAGAUGGCUUGAAAUGUUUUUCUCGGCUUGCAAGUUUUCCUCAGUGACUACCAAGCUACACAAGAGAACGGACUUACUCAGAAUCAUCCCCAUUAGCUUGGUGCUCUAGCAGUCACUCACCACGGGGAAAAACAGUCCGCAUGGCUACAUGCCGUCCGGACGACAGCAGCUGCAUUACCACUUACUCCCGGCUGCAGGAAAACAUCAAAAAAGUGAGCGGAGUCGGGGUUUCUGAGUUCCCCGAAGAUGAUGGCAGGCUCUUGGACUCCCGUCACACUUCUUUCUAAAAACCACACACAGCGACAAGGAGGGCAAAUACGCACACCCUUCAUCAACAGCUAAGGAAUCGGUAGAAGACGGAGACUGGUCACAAACGCAAACUUCAGAGAAAGAAGAGAAGUAAACACUGAAGGUCAGCAGAAUGAGUGCCGCGGCUGAUCCCAGGGUGGGGACUGUGGCAGGAGCUCCGGACAUGCCAAGAGGUUGGAGGACUCUCGGUGGUGGGAGAAGUCAGAGAACAGCGGCCGGGAUUUCUCCCCAGAGGGAAAAGGUCCCAUCUGAGAUGAGAACUCCUGAAAGCGGGCCUGAAAUGUGGCAAGAGAGCAGCGACAAGAGGAGGCCAGGAGAAGACACAGAGCCCAAGUGAAGUCCUGAGGGCACACAACACCUAUCGGGACAUGUCUCCAUGAGUGUCUCCACGAGAGACAAAGACGGGAGACUGCCAACAGAACUAAAGAAAAGGAGUUGGAGAUAAGGGCCCUCCUGAAAUAAGAAAGCAGAAGGGUGGAAACAAAACAAGAUGCCUGCUAACAAAGAUAAUGUCUUCCUCACCCUAGAAAGAAAGCUCCUGGGCUGAGAACCACCCAAACACCUUCCCACAACUCCGCAACGGCCAUGCGGCGGCCCAAAUGGGAAUGAGAAAUGUGGACUACUGCAAAGUCCGCUGAAACCAGAAGAAGAAAACACAACGAAUGAAGGUCGAAAUGUUCCAGGCUACUUGAAAAUGCUCAUAGAUCACGCAGAAUAAAACGGUACCACAAUAUUCUAGAGAACAAGAAAGAAAAAAAAGAGAAAGAAAGAAAGAAAGAAAGAAAGAAACAAGAAAAAAAAAAAACCCAAAAGAACACCAUGGAACAAAGAAACAACAACUGAGGACAGGUAGAGAAGUAGGAACAUAGUGAAAGGAAAUGGGCCCUCGCGUAACGCGGGGAAGAAAUUGAAAACAACAACAACAACAGAAACACAAGACGGCUGAAGACUUAGCCCUGGAUGGUGGGAUAUACGGAAGGGCGACAGCGUGGCCCAAAAUCAGAGCAGGCAAGGAGGACGGCAAAGGAUAAGCGAAAACGAGAAAACUGAUUAAAGGGACCAGAGAGAAAGCGACACACAGACGUCAGCGGAAGAAGAGUCAGUAUAUACAUAUUAGCAGGUCUCUGAAAAAAGGGAACCAGGAGCCAUGAGAUAGAACCCGUUGUAAAAUUACGGUCCAAAAGAUCGUGCCUGAAAGAAAAGAGGACCGAAAUGUCCACACGGAGAGACACACUGUGUAGACAUCUGCCCAGAAAGCCAACUCUGUAUCUGACAUCUAGAGUUCUAUUAUUAGACUUUCAAGAUAAAGUUCCUUGGCACUCCAGGCAAAAAUACCAAGCUCCUUACAAAGGAAAAAAAAUCAGAUUAUCGGCUUCGCUGCCAACGGGAUUCAGCAUGCACCCACACGGAUAUUAAUCAGUUCAAUAUUUUCUACCAGUAACGAAGAGAAAAGAGUGCAGCGGGGGCAAGACAGUGUCCUACUAAAAUUCAUGCCUGCUACGAACCUUUGGAAUGUGACCUCAUUUGGAUACAGGGUCUUUGCAGAUGUAAUUCAAGUCAAGGUCACAUUGGAUUAGAGUAGGCCCUAAAUUCAAUGACUGGUGUCCUUACAAAAACAGGACACACAAAACACAGACUGAGAGAAUGGGAAGGAGGAGGCAUGGAGUGAUGGGUCUACAAACCAGGGCACCAAGGGAUGUCUCACGCCACCAGAAGCUAGAAGAGGCAAGGGAAGUCUUCAAGAGGGAGCACGGCACUGCUAACAACUUGGUAUCAGACUUCUGGCCCCAAAACUGCGAGAAAAUAAAUUUCUGUUGUUGUAAGCCCUCAAGUUUAUGGAAAUUUGCUAGAGCACCCAAGGAUAGAGGGCUAAACCAAAGAGUUUGGAAGUAGCUGAGUCUUUCAUGUAUCAAGGCUACAGGAAGAGCUUUUAACACGUUAAGAACUCAGAUAAUAGGAAGGACAGCUAUGUGCUAGCUCUUCUGAAGUAAUCCAUUAGAGGAUGAGCUUUAGCCAACUGAAGGAGGACUGAAGAACACUCAGCAAAAGCACUGUUGGUCAGCACUGAAUAAAUUUAACUGGGGAUUUAAGAGGAAACCAAAGACAGGAAUAAAGGUUUCGGAAGAAUCAAAGCGUGUAAAUGAUUUGUGUGUAAGAAUCAAAGUGUGUAAACCAAUCACAGUUGAUUGGUUAGAGUCAAAAGAUACCAUGUAAAUCUAAAGAGCUGAAGAGCAGAAAGAUACAGGUCGAAAAAGCGACGACUGACUAAAAUGGGAUGGUGGUCAAGGAGGCUAAAGGAAGCUCAUUUCUUUGUUGCUCAUAGGGGAGACCCAACGGACGAUACCUAAGGAUUACAUAAUGAAUGGCAUUUAAACAAAAAAGUUGUAUACAAAGGUAUUUUAAUAAAGAGUAGGCAACAAAAAGAACAAAUUUAACUUAAAAAUAAUAACUAGGUUGAAUCACACUGAAUACAUAAAAAUCCAUGAGAUGUCAAGGAUAUUAAAAAAA
This is a long non-coding RNA of Lynx canadensis (Canada lynx), 4076 nucleotides long. RefSeq lists it as uncharacterized. Lineage: Eukaryota; Metazoa; Chordata; Mammalia; Carnivora; Felidae. The record is from RefSeq and is a predicted model, not a curated record. The transcript is spliced from 2 exons.